UGCAGUCGAGCGGUAGAGAGGUGCUUGCACCUCUUGAGAGCGGCGGACGGGUGAGUAAAGCCUAGGAAUCUGCCUGGUAGUGGGGGAUAACGCUCGGAAACGGACGCUAAUACCGCAUACGUCCUACGGGAGAAAGCAGGGGACCUUCGGGCCUUGCGCUAUCAGAUGAGCCUAGGUCGGAUUAGCUAGUUGGUGAGGUAAUGGCUCACCAAGGCGACGAUCCGUAACUGGUCUGAGAGGAUGAUCAGUCACACUGGAACUGAGACACGGUCCAGACUCCUACGGGAGGCAGCAGUGGGGAAUAUUGGACAAUGGGCGAAAGCCUGAUCCAGCCAUGCCGCGUGUGUGAAGAAGGUCUUCGGAUUGUAAAGCACUUUAAGUUGGGAGGAAGGGCAUUAACCUAAUACGUUAGUGUUUUGACGUUACCGACAGAAUAAGCACCGGCUAACUCUGUGCCAGCAGCCGCGGUAAUACAGAGGGUGCAAGCGUUAAUCGGAAUUACUGGGCGUAAAGCGCGCGUAGGUGGUUCGUUAAGUUGGAUGUGAAAUCCCCGGGCUCAACCUGGGAACUGCAUUCAAAACUGUCGAGCUAGAGUAUGGUAGAGGGUGGUGGAAUUUCCUGUGUAGCGGUGAAAU
This 635-nucleotide ribosomal RNA is filed under the name uncultured bacterium. RNAcentral's name for it is "bacterial SSU rRNA". It matches the Rfam family "Bacterial small subunit ribosomal RNA", at positions 56 to 687 of the family's 1533-position model. The record is from RNAcentral.